This 424-nucleotide RNase P RNA is filed under the name Deltaproteobacteria bacterium. RNAcentral describes it as "RNase P RNA component class A". It matches the Rfam family "Bacterial RNase P class A". Rfam says of the family: Ribonuclease P (RNase P) is a ubiquitous endoribonuclease, found in archaea, bacteria and eukarya as well as chloroplasts and mitochondria. Its best characterised activity is the generation of mature 5'-ends of tRNAs by cleaving the 5'-leader elements of precursor-tRNAs. Cellular RNase Ps are ribonucleoproteins. The record is from RNAcentral. Lineage: Bacteria; Pseudomonadati; Myxococcota; Myxococcia.
AGAGGAAGGAAGACAUUCGCGCAACGACUCGUUCGUUGGGAGGAAAGUCCGAGCUCCAUAGAGCAGGUCGCUGGAUAACGUCCAGUCGAGGUAACUCGGAGGAAAGUGCAACAGAAAGAAAACGGCCCCGUACUGCGGCUUCAUUUGCAAUUGAGCAAACCUUAGGGCAUGGCUUGGUUGAGGUGAAGGGGAUUCUUCUCGGUCAAGCUGAAAGGGUGCGGUAAGAGCGCACCGGCAUCACUGGUGACAGUGUUGGCCAGGUAAACCCCGACCGGAGCAAGGCCAAAAAAGAUGUGGGCUGCUCGCCUCAUACAUCAGGGUAGGCCGCUUCACAUUAUGUGAGAGCGAGUAGGUAACUGCUCGUCUAGAUGAAUGAAUGUCACUGCUUUGCAGAACAAAACUCGGCUUAUUCCCUCCUCUAACA